Molecule: ribosomal RNA, 423 nt
Filed under: Ochotona curzoniae (black-lipped pika)
Lineage: Eukaryota; Metazoa; Chordata; Mammalia; Lagomorpha; Ochotonidae
Description: partial small subunit ribosomal RNA
Rfam family: Bacterial small subunit ribosomal RNA
Source: RNAcentral
AAAAAGCUUUCAAACUGGGAUUAGAUACCCCACUAUGCCUAGCCAUAAACCUAGAUAGUUACAUAACAAAACUAUUCGCCAGAGAACUACUAGCAACAGCUUAAAACUCAAAGGACUUGGCGGUGCUUUAUACCCCCUAGAGGAGCCUGUUCUAUAAUCGAUAAACCCCGCUUUACCUCACCACCCUUUGCCAACUCAGCCUGUAUACCGCCAUCUUCAGCAAACCCUAAAAAGGCGUAGCAGUAAGCUCAAUAAUCCUCAUAAAAACGUUAGGUCAAGGUGUAGCCUAUAGGGUGGGAAGCAAUGGGCUACAUUUUCUUUUAAAAGAACACCACGAAAACCUUUAUGAAAUCUAAAGGUUAAAGGCGGAUUUAGCAGUAAAUUAAGAAUAGAGAGCUUAAUGAACACGCAAGAAGCACCCCG